CCUACGGGGGGCAGCAGUGGGGGAUAUUGGACAAUGGGGGGAACCCUGAUCCAGCGACGCCGCGUGAGUGAAGAAGUAUCUCGGUAUGUAAAGCUCUAUCAGCAGGGAAGAAAGAAAUGACGGUACCUGAGUAAGAAGCCCCGGCUAACUACGUGCCAGCAGCCGCGGUAAUACGUAGGGGGCAAGCGUUAUCCGGAUUUAUUGGGUUUAAAGGGUGCGUAGGCGGGCUGUUAAGUCAGCGGUCAAAUGUCGGGGCUCAACCCCGGCCUGCCGUUGAAACUGGCGGCCUCGAGUGGGCGAGAAGU
Molecule: ribosomal RNA, 305 nt
Filed under: uncultured bacterium
Lineage: Bacteria
Description: bacterial SSU rRNA
Rfam family: Bacterial small subunit ribosomal RNA
Source: RNAcentral